This 240-nucleotide unclassified non-coding RNA is filed under the name soil metagenome. RNAcentral's name for it is "partial contains 5.8S ribosomal RNA, internal transcribed spacer 2, and large subunit ribosomal RNA". The record is from RNAcentral.
AACGCACGAGACCUGCGGACCUGCGGAGGGAUCAUUACCGAGUUAGGGUAGUCACUCACUGCCCGACCUCCCAACCCUGUGUCUACCACGCUUUGUCGUUGCUUCGGCGGACCGGUUGACCAACUGGUCGUGACCGCCGGGGGCUGGCUCUGUCCCCCCUGGAGAGCGUCCGUCGAUGGCCCAACCACAAAACUCUUGUACCGAAAACGUGUCGUCUGAAUUAUAUUUGAGAAAUCAAAA